CAGCGGCGUCUGCAGCGACGACUCGCACGUCGCCGAGCUCCGCGCCAGCCACAGCCCCCCUCCGAUGAUCGGAAUCGACGCCAGUAGCGUCAAAAGAUUCAAGUAUCCGAUCACCGUGUUGCUGAAUCGGAUGGGUCAAGCGUUCUAAAGAAUCAGAACAUGAAGUGACCUGUGCUUGAUAGGAUAAGGGCCCGAUUCUGGGUGUCGAGUACAGCGUGCCAACUAGUAUGGAGGGACUUCUACUGUUUUUGGACCAAGAGAAUCUACUGUAAGCUUCUUGGACUUUUCACAAGUUAUGAAAUCUUCCUCCACAAACUCAAAGAUCAUGGAGUUUCGCAGAAGACUGUCCUUGAUUGGAAUUUUCAGCACAUCGGAGUUGGAUUGUUGCAUACAAAUUUUCCAAUUAUGCAGCCAGGUUUGUAAUGCCAUGAUACAAACUGCUUUGAUUUCUGUAUUUGAAUUCUCAUGAUUUAUCGUAUCUUAAUUUCUUGUAAUAUGUGAUUGCUCGGGCAAGUUGGUAGAUUUUUAUUAUGACAUGAAUUCUAUCCUAAUCCAUCCAUCACCGUGUUUGUGAGAGUUGUGAUUGAUUUAGAGUUUUUAAGAUUUGUUGAAAGAUCACUUUUCUUUUUACCCCAAAGAGAUCAAUUUUCUAUUAUUUUCUUUUUAACCAUUGCCUUGUUCUUGCCUGAUCUUUCCGAUGACUGAUAUUUUUCUCAUAUUAGUCCAUAUAUAGCCCUUAAUACUGACAGUCUGGUUCAUAAAAUGUAAGUUUUUUGGCUGGAAAACAGGAUAUUUAUGUUCAUCUCUUUUCAGAAUAUUGAAAUAUGACCUUUUUUUUCUUCUGAUACUCCUAAGGAGAUUAAAAGCAGAACCAUUCUCAGAUAAAGAAAAAAAAAACUUCUGAAGAAUAGAUUAAGGAGAUGUAUGAAUUAAAAAAUAAAUCAUGUACGCCAUCAAUAUAUAUGGCCUUUCUGUCAAUUCUUCAACUAUCAGCUGCAAUCUGAUACAUGCAGAAAACAGGCGAGUCUCAGGAUUAGUCAACAUGUCAAAGUCACAAAAACUAAGAUGAUUGAAAACUUUUAGUCGGGAGACUCACUGUCCAUGAAAGGGUUUGGAAAUAAUGCUUGCUUGUGCAAGUAUUGGUAAGGGCACAUUUUCUUUGUUUUCCUCCGACCAUAACCCCUAUCAGCAAAUGUGUUAAGCUAGAAAAAAAUAGAUCAUAGGGCAUAUAAGCUUCGGAAAUGUGCUCCAAUAUUUAAGGAAAAUUAUAUGAACAAAAAGCUAUUCCGUUUGGAUAAAUAUCACAGUACAAAAGGAUGAAAACAAAGGUGCAGCUUAUUUUUGUUUGUUAUGUAUGCUUCCUUCUGAUUACCAUACACUUUUCACAAAAGAAAUUGUUUGCUAAUUUCUUAGUAUAAUCACCACUUAUAGGUACUAUACCACAUAAUAUGCAUAAAGUUGCCUUACACAUUUUAGGAGGUCCCAUUCUCAACACAUUCUGCUUGUCAAACACGAUAUAGCAAAAGAAGACAAUUACAUCAUCUUUAUCUUUAAGAUAUGCUUCAUCCAUUCACUCUUAAAUAAGCUUAGGUGGCACCAAAAUGAUAGGAAAGCUUCUAAUAAGUGCGAUCCUAUGCCAUCAUAUAACUCGUGACGAUCAUAUAAAAUCUAAAUUAUUCCAACCAUCAACAAGAUUCUAGAAAUGCAUUAUAACAAUGAUAAACAUUAUAUUUUUAUACUUGGGUAGGAAUGCAUGACUGAAAUGGGUACUGCUUUCACCUGACAAUAAGAAGCAGAUUGGUUAUGGCUUUGUAAUCAACUCUAGACACAUGAACAUAGGGGGCCAGUGGCUGGUGGGUUUGGUUUCCAUUCCUGGUUGGAUUUUCAAGGCAGAGGAAUGAAAAGAUACCUGUCCCAAGGGACAUCAAUCCAAAAUCUUAAGCAGCUCCUCUAAUAGUUCUCAAUAGUGACCGUUCCACUCUGUUUUUUUUUUUUUUCCUGAGAAGAAUCAUAUGUCCUUUUAACUAAAUCAACUGUUAACUUACCUCAAAAGACUAGGAUAACAAAUUUGCAAUGGCAAGCUUGUAAAGAAGGUUCAAAACAGAAGUAUAAUUUCAGAUAGAAGGAACGGUAUCAGAGAGGCCAUCUCAACAUGUUUUUGCAGUUAUUAAGUUCCAAAAUUAAUGCUUAAUGAAAACCUCUUUCUUUAACCUUUUCUUUCUGCUGUCAAAGACAAAGCCUAAGUAGUUUCAUGGAUAUUGUGAUAAAACAAAACAGAACUAACAGUCUUCAUUUUAAACGUGGCUAUAAGUUCAUUCCCUUAGCAAGAGGUAACUCAAUGAGUAAGAGCCUCUUUGGAGAGCCAACCAGCUCAGCUGGCCUUCCUAAAUACAUGACUGACAAGGACAUAGAAUGAAGUGAAGAAUAAGUCUUCUUUUCAAACUUAUUAGCAUAUAGUUGAAAUUUCAAAAGUAAGGAUAUAAAAAUGCUCACCACGAAGCACCUAGUACUAAGCAAAGUCCAACAAAUCAACAAGAAUAAAGUGGAAACCAUCUUACUAAUUCAAUUUGAGUACCAAAACUACAAGCAAAUUUAGAAUCAUAGUGCAUCAUUGAAUAGUUACAGAACAUCGACAAAAUCCUCGUAGCCUUAGGCAAUCAUGAUUUUCUAGAAGGAUCGUGUUCAUAAACUAAGAACAGGUGCAUUCAGAUAUAUCAAGUGUAUUUGCAAAAAAAGCCAUAUCCACACAAAAUAGCAUAUCCACACCAAUCAAUCAAUCUAUGUCAUAAAUGCAAAUUGCAAGUUUACACUUUUGGUUAAAACUGCAAAACACUCCACACGCACAUACGAUACAACCAUACACACUAAACAAUAUAAUCAGUGGCACAGCUACAGCUAUAAUCUUCUGCAUGGUUUGUCCCAUCUGAAGUCCCAUGGCUAAGCACUCUGUAAAAGUGAGGUAGAUGUUAUCUUUCGAAGCAACAUAGUAAUUGGCAAACCCAGCCAAUAUAAGGGGACUAGCAACAAUAUAACAUGUUAUUAAUUAGUAAAGGAUGGUAAGGGUAAAAAUGGAGUUAUCAAGAAAUGCUUCUAAAUGGACCAUUUGUCAAAUGCACAUGAUGCUUCAUUGCAGAACAAGAAUUAUGUAUUCUAUAAAUCAUUUAGAAUGAUUUCAUCUCGCCAGCAAGUCUAUGGAAUGAGAAAUUCAGAGUGGUACAAAGUUCUUGGUAAACUAUACUGCCUAGUUCCCUUUUCUAAAUCGGCAUGCAGGAUGAUAUUUAACCAGCUAGGUGGAGAAGCUACAUCUAGCAUUGCAUCUUUGUGUGAGCUAUAACUCCUUAAAAAGUGUGAGAGAGAAAAGUUCAAACCUGAUUUGUUAUUUCAUCUUCUCCAAAAACAUUGGAAUUGAAAUCGUCACCUAACAUGUGAUAGAACAGAAGAUCAAAAUAAGUCAUUGAGCAUGAGAAAUGCAGCAUGAAAAUUAGUUCAGUCUAGUGACUUGAAUUGGGGCUAGUACCCUUCUCGUCUUCUGUCUUUGCUCCUAAGUUGGCCACUCCUACCACUUUUGGUUCCAUCAGUCCUCAUUUGCUCCCUAACAGAGAACUCAGACUCUGCUUUUGUUUUCUUAGAUGAACUCUGACACGUGUGAACAGAACUGUCAGAUGAUUUGUGCCUUGAUAUUUAAAGAUGAAAUUUGCAUGGAGAGCCUGGUGCCUCUGUUAGCCGACUUUUCCAGAUGCAUUUUCCCCCAAACAUCCCUUCGCACUUUCAUGGGAAAUGGUCAUGGUCUCAGAAUUCUUAUUCUCAGCAAAGGAGCCUUAGAUGGAUCAAGUGCCCGGCUUUCCAUCCAUAGGUUCCUCUUUGCCAGAACCAUCUUUCAGUUCAGUGCUAUUAAUAUCCAUGUCCUCGUCAGAUGCUUCCUCUCUUUAAUCUCAUGGCGGGUUAUCGUCAUCAGAAUAUUCCAAACGACUAUUUUUAUUCGUCUCACAUCUUAUUAGUUCCUCUCCAGCAUCGGGUUCGGGAUCCUCCUCCUCAGCUAAGGAAGGGUCACACUUAUCGAAUUUACAAGAAUCAGCAUUUGGUUGGUCAUUUGAUAGUCCAUAAGCGUUACAAAGAUCACUCAAAAUUGAUUUGGUGUUGUCCCAUAUAAAGUUUGACCUCACUCCUAUGUGAGCACCCAUCAGUUUAGUCCUACAUCGGUGGGCAAAUUUGAGUACUUAUACAGAACUAAGAAACACAAAAAAAACUUUCCGAUUAGUCUUUUUGGGUGAGGUUCUGAUUUGUUACACUCUGAAGCCUAUGAAAUGGCUGACAAGUAGAAAUAGGAAAGAGUGUGAUAAUUUAGAUCCAAGGCAUGCAUUAUGAGAAAGCAAAUGAAAGCUUAGGAGGUCCUUCAAGAAGAGGCACUGUACCUGGGCAUGGCACUCCAAGGCGAGGUGGAAGAAUGCAGCUGUAACAGAAUGCUGAAUACUUGAGCUUGUCAAGCCUACACUGGCUGCAACUCUGUGCACUAUGGUCUGGUGUGCCCACCAUUGAAAGGUUACCAUUGAAAGGUUACAAGAGAUUCAAGAUUUCAUUAGAGAAACAAGAAGCGAAGUAGUAAUUACCAGCGAAGGGGGUGGGAUGGGAUGGGAUGGACAUCCGUGGCGGCUGCGAAGCAAGUGCGUGGGAGGAAGGGAGGGAGGAUACGCUCCCGACGGCGCUCAAAAGAAAGAUUACUGGUUCGGAUGUCUGUCGCGAACUAACCAACUACGUGCUGAAUUCUAGUUUGAAACUGGUCGUAGAUAUUAUUUGAGUUGCAGGCAUGAAACGUUCUUCUCGUAAUGGUUCGAUAUUAUUGGGGCCGGAACAGUGCUAAUGCACCGUCUCGGGCUCGUCGGGGGACCGCGAGCUCUGGUUCAGUGGUUCUAUAGGAAGGAGACAUGACCCAUCUACUCGCACAGAUGAACUACUAGCUAUUGCUUAUUGUCUUUUGAGAGCUUUGGACAAGCAAGCUUCAGCUUGCAAAUGAUACACAUCACUUCGGUUUUUUAUGGAGGAAGAGUAGAUCUCUAACUGCGCACCUCUCUUGAUCCACCAUUCCAGAUCUGUUUCUACAAAAAGAACUGCCUGGCUUGUGGGUUUAGUCAACUCAAGUCUUUAGUCAGGAGGCUGGAACUAAUUUUUCUGAAAUAUUAUUUCCAAAGUGCAUUCAGGACAGGGUGGAUCUAAACCCUAUCAUCAGCUCAUCAUUUCACAUUCAUGGUCAUGCCAAAAAUUAAUAACAAAUGAAGAUUUCAUAGGGACUCUUUACAGGAUAUCAACCUUGUAUAUCUAGCAUUAAGUUAUUUAAAGGAUUUAUUUAUGAUGCACAUGCUCCAUGAGUGAUUGUAGUUCCAACUUAGUAUAAAGUAUUGUUUUACAAAAUCUGCGAGAAAAAAAAAUUCUGAAGUAUUUAGGUUCUAUGGAGGGUUUUAUAUAAUAAUGAUUAUGUCAACUUUGAAGUUUGAAUUAAUUCCAGGCACGCCAUUUGAUGUGGCUGGUUCAAAGUUUCCAUAAACCAAGAGAACUUAUCUAUAAUAUUUAUGAUCUAUAGAGGGUUUUAUAUAACAAUGCAUUAACACUUAUCUGAACUUACAAUUUACAAACUAGUCCGGCCGGCCGGCCGCAUGUGGGACCAGAUAAGGCCAGGCACGAAGGUCUUUGUUUUUUUUCAAUUUUACCCCCUAACAGGUGUUAGUAUUACAGCAAAGUCUUUUUAGUUUUCAGUAAAAACCACCUUCCUCAUUCCUCAGCAGCCUCAACAAGUUCAUAUUAACAAGUUUAGUAGAGUGAUGCAGUGAAUACGAGCAAGGUAUAGAAUCAUGAACUGUCGCCUUAAAAAUCUUCUCUACAGCAAUGAAUCAUGGUCUUAAAAAAUCUUCUCCAUAGCCAUGGUGCAUGGACCUGAUAAACUUAAUUCAGGCUGAUAAACACGAUUCUUUAUAAUGGAUUCCAAAACGAAACAGAAUUUUAUCUGGUCUAGUGCAGCAUGAUAGUUAGAGACAUACGAUGACAUUCCAAUUGAUGACUUCUAAGAUUUUAGUCAUCCAAAAUCAUGAGAUCCUCUACAAAAAGAA
This is a non-coding RNA of Phoenix dactylifera (date palm), 6098 nucleotides long. Lineage: Eukaryota; Viridiplantae; Streptophyta; Magnoliopsida; Arecales; Arecaceae. The record is from RefSeq and is a predicted model, not a curated record.